AUGCUCGGUGAAAUAGGAUCUGUCAUAAUGGCCAUUGUUAAAAUGUAAUAAUGGCCAUUGUUAAAAUGUAAUAAUGGUAACAUUUCUGUGGCCGUUUACUUAGUAGAGUGUAGAGUGUUCAAAGCAGGAAAAAAGUAGAGUGUUCAAAGCAGGCUCUCAUGCCUGGAUAAUGGUGCAUGGAAUCGUAGAAUAGGACCUCGGUUCUAUUUUGUUGGUUUUUCGAAGCGAGAGGUAAUGAUUAAGAGGGACAGACAGGGGCUUUCGUACUGUGCCGUUAGAGGUGAAAUUCUUGGAUUGGCGCAAGACGAACGACUGCAAAAGCAUUUGCCAACAAUGUUUUCUUCAAUCAAGAGCAAAAGUCAGAGGUUCGAAAUGCUUAUCAUGAACGAUAUAUAUACCGAUCUCUAUAUAACAAAGUCUUAGUGACGAGCCCAUCAUGAGUUUGAAACUUGGCCUGGUAAAAAAAUGGACU
Molecule: non-coding RNA, 472 nt
Organism: Ciona savignyi (Pacific transparent sea squirt)
Lineage: Eukaryota; Metazoa; Chordata; Ascidiacea; Phlebobranchia; Cionidae
Source: Rfam